Molecule: long non-coding RNA, 5995 nt
Filed under: Oryza brachyantha (malo sina)
Lineage: Eukaryota; Viridiplantae; Streptophyta; Magnoliopsida; Poales; Poaceae
Description: long non-coding RNA (OBRA_LNC001629)
Source: RNAcentral
AAGAAACUGCAGCAACAGUCUUUAAAAAGGGAAUAUUUGCAGCAACGCAGAGAACAACAGCCGCAGCUUUCUAUUAACAAGCAUAAUGCCAAACACAAUUUCACAGAAGGUUCAACGUUUCUAAUGGCGUUCCCCCGUUUUAUGCUUAAGUAUAAAACAGAGCUCACCCUACAAGCAAUGUGCUGAAAGGUGCCCAACAAUGGUCUGCCAACUCAACGAUGUACAUUGUUCAGAAACUCAAUCAUGUACUACAGUGUCCAGAAACUCAAUCAUUUACACACCUCUCGAAAUAGAACCUGUUCACCGUGAUCCUCUGAUAGACAAGUCUCUCCUAGUUAGGAAGAAGGGUAUUACCACAUGAUAAAUCCUUCACAACAGCACGUCUCUGUUAAAAUCAGCUACAUUUCACAUCAAAUGGAUUUUUUAAAAUAGGGCGAGGGCACAAAUGUCCAUUGCCAAUAGUAGAAUAUUAUGUACUUUUUUGAGAAGCAUAAAUUACAUUAGAAUCAUAAUAACCCUAAUAGUGAAGCAAAUAAUCUCAUCGAGCACACAUACAGAACGGUAACCUAAUGGCCACAUGCCAUAAUUGCAAUAUCCUGAGGUCUAUGUAUUGUGGUUAUGCAUCUGUCUAAAAACUUUUCUUGUGCAAAAAAAAAAAAACUAUAUGUAAUCAACUUAGGAAUUGCACUCCAAGCGAGCCUCCAAGUUACUCCCUUUGUUUCAUAUUAUUAGACUUUUUGAUUUUUAAAGUCAAACUUCUUUAUGUUCGACCCAAUUUAUAGAAAAAUCUAGUAACAUUUUCAACACAAAACCAAUAUAGUAUCAAAAUAUAUUUAAUCUUAGAUUUAAUAAAACUAAUUCGGUGUUGUGAAUAUUGCUAUAUUUUCAUAUAAACUUGAUCAAACUUAAAGAAGUUUGACUUUGAAAAAAAUUCAAAAUGUCUUGGAAUAUGAAACAGAGGGAGUAGUAAAUAUUCAUAAAUAAGGCAUCGUUGAGCACAUCCUUUAUAUUCAAUUAUAUUAGAAAUGAAAGAAUUCCCACUCAUUAGUGCAUAGUCAUUGUCCUGAUGACUUGUAGUGGUCAGAGUUACCUUUUGGAUAUCAUAAUGGCUACUAACAUAAAGAUGAAUUACUAACAUUUAAACCCAACAUACAUGAUACAUCUCAAGGUAACAUCCCAACAAAAAUGCUUUCCUGGUUACUGAUAGCCCAGUGGAAAAGGCAUACCAUUCCUACUACAGUUGUGAUGGUUGCAACUAAAGUGUCAAACUACAAAUGUGAUGAUUACAAGUUCAUAACCACCAGGGAUUUUCUAGUGUUUUGAGGGAUAUAAAUUCUAUAAACCCUGCUAAAAGAUGCUCACAAGAGAGAAAUAUAGUCUCCAUAAUGCCUUUAACUACUCGGAUAUACUUGGGGACUGCGCUGAGUACCUCGAACUCUAGUCACAUCACUGCUUUAAUAACCAGUAAAUUGUAUUGCGGUUUGUCAUGCACAUAAAGGGCCUGUUUGGAGGAGCUUCUGGUAGCUGCAGCUUCUCACAGAAUCUCCAGAAGCCAGAAGCUCUCCCAAACAGUACUUAGUUUUUGAGAAUCUAGAGUUGCAGAAUUCAGAAAAUGAACUAGAAGCCAGAAGCUGGAAAACCCAACUUUUCUAGAUUCUGGUUGGCUUCUCACUAGCUGCUUUUCAAAAUCUUAAGCUCCCCCAAAUAGGUCCAAAGAUAGUCAUGCUGUCCCCUUAACAAUAUUAUAGUGUGUUAGCUAAAAAAAUAAUAUUAUAGUGUGUAUUUUAUCUUAGAACCAUCAAAAUUUGUCCUACCUUUACAAUCCAUUUCCUCACAUGAGCGAUGUAUUCCACUGAAGCAAAGACAUACAGAACACAAGUCAACCCCAGACAAAAAAAAAACUAUAUUCCUCACUCAAGACCCAUAUAGUUAAUAUGAAAUUAGCUGGAUUACCAGUCAUGCACCUCAUUUAUGUUUCUUUCCUUUUAAUGCCCAUACCAUUUCUAUAGCAUAAGCAAACUCAUCUUGUAUGGCUAUGUUGUUCUUCUAUUAUUCUUGUGAAGAAUGAAGAACUCAUCUCUUUUUUGGCGAUUUUACAUGGCACUUUUUUUAUCCUCCCUCUAUGACAUGAUCAGAUUUACACAAGAAUGGUUCUUACAAUAGUUGAUUCAGCAGCUUACUAUGCAAUGCAAACAUCAAAAAGCCCAGUGCAUAUAAACUGUGCUUUUAGAGAACCACUAGACUACAGAUAUCAAGAUUGGAGUGUCAACUGUUUCAAAAGGGUUGAACAAUUGGUUUAUAAAUGGAGAACUAUAUACUAGAUACCUAGGAAUGAAAAUGGCCUCUGCAUUUGGUGAUUGUUCUUGUUCAGUAAUGAAGGUUCUACAGAUUGUAAAGAAGAAAGUAGGGGCUUUUAUUAGUUAGUGCUAUCCAUACAGAAGAUGAUAUUUGGGCUGUAGCUUUACUAGCUAGACACUUUUCCUGGCCAGUUGCUGCUGACGUUCUGUCUGGACUGCGAAUGCCGAAAGCACAUAAUCCGACUAGAGAAGAGAAUUUUGUUUAUACACCACAUAGAUCAAAUUCUGCUAUCUGAAUCUUCUAAUAGCUGGAUAAUUCCAGAUAUUAUUGUACAGGUUUAUCUCCUCACUGAUUCUUUUUAUUCGAUGUUUCUGCAUCAUUUACCUUAUCAUGGCAAUUCCUUUUAAAUAUUUAUUACGUCGUUGGUAUUUUUUGAUUUGUAGAUUAUUAGCCAGAUUACUAGCAGAUGACUGGGGAACAUAUGUUGAGGCUUGCUCCUUGUCUUCUUACCAUCUUUAUUGAUGCACACCCAUGACGCCAAGGGGUGGACUUUUUUUUUUUUGUUUCCUCGGUUCAGUUUAGUCAGUAUUUGAUAAGGUCAGUUUAUAAGAAAUGACAACUGAAUUAACCUGUGAAGAAUAUCAAACCAAGCUGAACAAGCCAAUGCUCUUCGAUUCGGUUUUCAGUUGACUGAACUCUUCUAUGACGCCUAGUGAGAUGGAUGGGGGUAAGAGAGAAAAUAGAGGGACGGUGCAGGUGAUGAUGGAAAGCGGAGGCGGUAAAGGGAAUUGGAGACCACCGGUGGUGGAGGAGGGCAAGGCUGGCAGCACCUGCACUGGUGGAGAGGGCAGAGCGGACAGUGCUGGCAGUGGCGGAGAGAAGCGUGGACGGCGCCGGUGGUGAAGGACUGAAUGGCAGGGUGGGACAGUGCUAGCAAAGGCAGAAGCUGAGCUGAUGGUGGUGCUGGUCAGAGACAUGGCAGCGGCUUGGGGUGCUUUUGUAGGCGGAUGCAGUACGGUAGUAUGAUGGGAGUGGAGGGGAUUCAGGGUUCCUGAGAUGGACUGUUGUAGACCUGAUGAGAAAAUAGAAGAUGGGCUGGGCAUCCUCGGUUUUCUCGGGUUGCUCGGUUUUUGGCUAACAUCAACCGAAUAAACAACCGAGCACUGAUAUAUGCAGAAACCAAAACUCGGUGUUCUUGGCCUGCUCGGUUUUUGGCUAGCAUGAAACGAACAAACAAUUGAGCACCGAAGUAUGCAACUCAAAACCAUAGGAAAAGCAUAGACCGAGAAAUCCGGCCUUUUUGGGCCAGCUCGGUUUGGCUUUCGGUGUGCGGUUAAUUUGUGCCCACUCCUAGCCAUGAUCCUUCACAUGUUGUCAGUCACAGAAUUUGCAGCUAGUUUAUGCCAGUGUAAUCUCUGAAGAAAGACAAGCAAAGGGUCAGAUAUUUUGAUGUUUCUGAAUUCAGCAGUAUGGCCUGUAAGAGAGUAGCUAUCUUAAAAAUAUGUUAACAAACCACUCUGAUAGUAUGGAUAGGAUAAAACAUUCCCAGGAAGAAAUCAGAUGGGUGUAGCAGGAGUAACACUAUUAGUUUAUUUCUGUAUACUAUUAUGUGGUAAAUCCAUUGGAUAAAUCUUAUUUGCAGAUAAAUUUCAUGCACAUGUAGAAUGCUUCAUGCGCAUUGCAAGUGAUAUUUUGGAUAGACUACUACCGCCUAUGCACAUGUGACCUUAAAGUGACUUUUCCUGAUCCAAUUUGAUUAUUGGGAUUAAGAGAAGGGAAUUAAGAACUAGGGGAGCCUUGAAAACUGCAGUGAAAGUGAUAAACUAUGUUGAUUAAACUUAAGCAUUGCAUCUUUUCAUGUAACUAUCAUGAAGUCAAAAUGCUGGCAACCUAGUCUAACAUAACAAUGAUAUAUCAAACUUUCUUCAUAAUACACUCGAAGCCAACUAAUGUUGUAUAAAUUUAUGGGCUAUGAUAUAUGCAUAGACAUCAGUCCAUUAUUGCACAAUUGCUUUUGCAAAUCUAUAUAUGAUUAGUUUCAGAUUUUUGUUAGGCAGAGAUUUGUUUCAGACUUGCAAUGUGAGCUAACAGCUAACAAUGUGUUGAUAUGUUAUCUUUUACUUAAACAGUUAAAAGACAUGGAAAAGGGGGAAACUGUUAAGAGAUAAUUGUGUGAACAGGAGGCAUAUAUGAAGCUUCACUGCAUAUGAUUUUUUGAGCUGUUGAAAGAGAUUCUGCAUAUGCUUCUUGUGUUUUAGAAUAAGAGGUGUGUGUGUGCCCAAUAUGGAUGGAAACCUCACAUGUGCGCUGCCAAUGUUAAAAAUAUCUAUGGAAAGUGUAAUAUUGGUAUCAGAAAAGAUGAUAUCAUCUCAGUAGUAAGACUAUGAUAAACACUACUAUCAGAAGCAAAAUGUUAGCAAAUAGUAAAUUAGAUCGGACUGACCAAGAAUAGGCUACCAUUGAUAGUGAGUCUAUUUGGGAUAAUUAUCCCAAGGUAAAUGCAGAUUCAUGUUGUUAUUUAGCACAUAUCAUUGCUUGAAAAAAUUAAGUUAAACAUAGGAGACGUUCUUAGCAUGCUCUUAUCAUAUGGAUUCCUUACACUCAUUUGAAACAUAGUAUUUAUCCUCUGUUAGCGAUCUAUUCUUUAGUCUUUACUUUGCAGGAAAACUAGGACGCAGCUAGCCACAUGUUUAGAAUGGUUAUUUGGUUAGCGUAUUUCCAAGUCAUCCAACUAGAGAUGCUGGCGAGAAUGUGCAGAAUUUGAUAAUGAAAGUGUUACCACAGUAGCACUAUAAACCCCUGUUCUAAUGCAUUGAUCACAAUCCACACUGGUGCUGUCAUCAAAAGGAAGAAGCAGCAAGAGGACAGUCCGAUUGCUUCAAUGCUUGCUGAAGCUUAGAACUAUUUACUGCUGUUUCCAGCGAUGAUGGUUUCGAGGAGUUAGGACCCGAAAGGGAAACUCUACCGACAUGAGAUGAGAUACCUAACUUAGAUGGACAUGAUCUGUUGGAAGCAUACAGUCUUUUCAGUUUUGCAAAAACCAAAUUGAACCACAGCUUUUAUAGACUGACAUAUAUAUAUAGGUUUUUUUAACCAUCCUUAAAAAGUAACUCAAGUACCAAGAAUUUUAGUAUAAAUUUUUGAUACCUUAAGAUACCACACUUUUUACACGGGUGAUACCUUGAGUUAUUUUUUGGUAAAAAAGCUCAUAUAUAUACAAAUUACAGGCUUACAGCUAUACUAGUUUGAGUCGCGAACAACACACGGCACAAUUAAUCAACUCUUCUCUUGGCACUAAACCGGCGUCACAUAUCCCGCUCACGUGCAUGGGCAGUACAAACGUUCGUAAUCCCUAGGAAUGCGCCGACAAAAAAACUACAAAGAUUAGCUAAGGCAUCGUACAAGUGACACCUUAGCGUUCUUGAGCUCGAUCGUCACCUGCAAGGGUGCACAACCCCCGCCCACCAAUCCGACGCGAGAAUCACCCAGCAUUACGGGAACGAACAUGGGAAAAAAACGAAUCGUCGAACGAGAAGGCAGAGUGCGGGUUACCAGGCGAGCUUCAUCCUGGAGAGGGCGCCCGCUGUGGGUGGGGGCAGGAAGGGGAGAGGGAAGCUAGCUAGGGUUUUGGGGGAGUGGAGCUGCAGCUGCGUCCUCGAGCUGCUUCGGCCUUCCUCUCUUCCGACGACUCCGAGAG